Small nuclear RNA from Loxodonta africana (African savanna elephant), 126 nucleotides. NCBI's taxonomy places the organism in Eukaryota, Metazoa, Chordata, Mammalia, Proboscidea, Elephantidae. The record is from Rfam.
GUGUUAUUUGAGAGGAGAGAAGAUUUGUACUACACUUGACAUAGUAAAAGAGGCCCCAGUGACCUGUACGGAUAAGGCAUUGCAAACUACUAUGUGUUCUAAGAGUCGCGUGAACUUCUAUUUGUU